This 141-nucleotide ribosomal RNA is filed under the name Prototheca wickerhamii. RNAcentral describes it as "partial small subunit ribosomal RNA". It matches the Rfam family "Eukaryotic small subunit ribosomal RNA", at positions 1681 to 1801 of the family's 1831-position model. Lineage: Eukaryota; Viridiplantae; Chlorophyta; Trebouxiophyceae; Chlorellales; Chlorellaceae. The record is from RNAcentral.
UCUACCGAUUGGACGCUGCGGUGAAGACCUGGGAUUGGGGUGGUGGUGUUUGAGUGGUGGGAUUCGGUUCUCGCCCCGCCACCGUCCCGAGAACUCGUCUGAACCCCAUCGUCUAGAGGAAGAAGAAGUCGUAACAAGGUU